RNAcentral lists this ribosomal RNA (586 nucleotides) under uncultured bacterium. RNAcentral describes it as "bacterial SSU rRNA". It matches the Rfam family "Bacterial small subunit ribosomal RNA", at positions 337 to 916 of the family's 1533-position model. The record is from RNAcentral.
UCCUACGGGUGGCUGCAGUGGGGAAUAUUGGACAAUGGGGGCAACCCUGAUCCAGCGACGCCGCGUGUGUGAAGAAGGCCUGCGGGUUGUAAAGCACUUUUAGUGGGGAGGAAAACCCCCGACCUAACACGUCGGGAAUUGACUUAACCCAAAGAAAAAGCACCGGCUAACUCUGUGCCAGCAGCCGCGGUAAUACAGGGGGUGCAAGCGUUAAUCGGAAUUACUGGGCGUAAAGCGUGCGUAGACGGUUUAUUAAGUCGGAUGUGAAAUCCCCGGGCUCAACCUGGGAAUUGCAUUCGAGACUGAUCAGCUAGGGUACGGAAGAGGGAAGCGGAAUUUCCGGUGUAGCGGUGAAAUGCGUAGAUAUCGGAAGGAACAUCAGUGGCGAAAGCGGCUUCCUGGUCCAGUACCGACGUUCAGGCACGAAAGCGUGGGGAGCAAACAGGAUUAGAUACCCUGGUAGUCCACGCCAUAAACGAUGAGGACUAGACGUUGGAGGGGUCAGCCUUUCAGUGUCGCAGCUAACGCGAUAAGUGAGCCGCCUGGGGAGUACGGUCGCAAGAUUAAAACUCAAAGGAAUUGACGG